AAAAAUUAACUGACCUAAAGCUAAAGUGUCAUUUUAAGUCCUAUAACUAGCAGCUCCAGGUGUUCUCUGAUUAGUCUACAACAUGUAAGAGGACUUUUAACUUUUUAAAUGUUUUCCUCCAC
This is a long non-coding RNA of Melanotaenia boesemani (Boeseman's rainbowfish), 122 nucleotides long. RefSeq lists it as uncharacterized. The record is from RefSeq and is a predicted model, not a curated record. The transcript has 3 exons. Lineage: Eukaryota; Metazoa; Chordata; Actinopteri; Atheriniformes; Melanotaeniidae.